Molecule: ribosomal RNA, 250 nt
Filed under: uncultured bacterium
Lineage: Bacteria
Description: partial 16S ribosomal RNA
Rfam family: Bacterial small subunit ribosomal RNA
Source: RNAcentral
UACGGAGGGUGCGAGCGUUAUCCGGAUUUAUUGGGUUUAAAGGGUCCGUAGGCGGAUUAAUAAGUCAGUGGUGAAAUCCUAUCGCUUAACGAUAGAACUGCCAUUGAAACUGUUAGUCUUGAGUGAGGUUGCAGUGGCUGGAAUGUGUAGUGUAGCGGUGAAAUGCUUAGAUAUUACGCAGAACACCAAUUGCGAAGGCAGGUCACUAAUCCUCAACUGACGCUGAUGGACGAAAGCGUGGGGAGCGAAC